UUAACAACGCUAGAAGACUACGAGCAACAGUUUAAAACUCAAAGAACUUGGCGGUUUUUCAAAACUACCUGGAGGAGCUUGCUAUUUAAACCGAUAACCCACGUAAAACCUCACCAACCCUAGCAAAAACAGCCUGUAUACCAUCGUCGUCAGUCUACCUCGCAAGAGAAAAGUACACAUAAAGAGUACAUCGCCCCCGUGACUUCUACCCCCGACGUCAGAUCAAGGUGCAGCUCAUGGGUUGGGAAUAAGUGAGCUACAAUAACAAUAACAAUCACCAAAAAAGAUAUAAAUCAGUAAUGAAAAAACAGAAAAAAAAGGAUUCAACAGUAAUACUUAAAAGAAAAUAAGUAUGAAACCAUAG
RNAcentral lists this ribosomal RNA (364 nucleotides) under Henricia pachyderma. RNAcentral's name for it is "partial 12S ribosomal RNA". Lineage: Eukaryota; Metazoa; Echinodermata; Asteroidea; Spinulosida; Echinasteridae. The record is from RNAcentral.